AUUGAACGCUGGCGGCAGGCCUAACACAUGCAAGUCGAGCGGAUGAAGGGAGCUUGCUCCUGGAUUCAGCGGCGGACGGGUGAGUAAUGCCUAGGAAUCUGCCUGGUAGUGGGGGAUAACGUCCGGAAACGGGCGCUAAUACCGCAUACGUCCUGAGGGAGAAAGUGGGGGAUCUUCGGACCUCACGCUAUCAGAUGAGCCUAGGUCGGAUUAGCUAGUUGGUGGGGUAAAGGCCUACCAAGGCGACGAUCCGUAACUGGUCUGAGAGGAUGAUCAGUCACACUGGAACUGAGACACGGUCCAGACGCCUACGGGAGGCAGCAGUGGGGAAUAUUGGACAAUGGGCGAAAGCAUGAUCCAGCCAGGCCGCGUGUGUGAAGAAGGUCUUCGGAUUGUAAAGAACUUUAAGUUGGGAGGAAGGGCAGUAAGUUAAUAACUUGCUGUUUUGACGUUACCAACAGAAUAAGCACCGGCUAACUUCGUG
Molecule: ribosomal RNA, 484 nt
Filed under: uncultured bacterium
Lineage: Bacteria
Description: partial 16S ribosomal RNA
Rfam family: Bacterial small subunit ribosomal RNA
Source: RNAcentral